RNA transcript from Peromyscus californicus insignis, 9476 nucleotides. It is a transcript of the gene named ankyrin and armadillo repeat containing, with no coding region annotated. The record is from RefSeq and is a predicted model, not a curated record. NCBI's taxonomy places the organism in Eukaryota, Metazoa, Chordata, Mammalia, Rodentia, Cricetidae. The transcript is spliced from 27 exons.
AGUCACUAAAAAUUAAACAGCGGCUGCGUUACCAUUGUGGGAUGUGGUGGUUUCACAGUUCGUGUGUGAAUUUUUACUUUUCCCAUCAAGGCUCCUUUUGAUCAAGUUCAUAAGGAACUUCAAGAAGUAUAUACUGGAUUUAAGUAGAAAUGUUAAGACUAUCCAAAAAAGGAAUAGUUAGAAUUGAUCAAGUUCAAGAUGAAGAAACCUACCUGGAAAAUUUAGCAGUGCAAAGAAAUGCUUCUGCUUUCUUUGAAAAAUAUGAUCGCAGUGAAGUGCAAGAAUUACUAACAACAGCACUAGUCAGCUGGCUGUCUGCCAAGGAGGAUGUUCGCUCUCAACUAGACAUCCCAUGUGGACUCAUGAGUCAAAUAAAUAAUGUAGGCUUCUCUACCGCCAUCCUGUUGACGCCUGUGGACCCCACCGCCCACUUAGACUAUAGGGAAGUCCAUCAGAUCUUAAGGGAGUUGGCUGUUGGAAUUUAUUGCUUAAAUCAAAUCCCUUCAAUCAGUUUAGAAGCAAAUUAUGAUCAGAGUUCUUCUUGUCAACUACCUCCAGCUUAUUAUGAUACCAGAAUUGGACAAAUUUUGAUCUAUAUUGACUAUAUGCUAAAAGCACUGUGGCAUGGAAUAUACAUGCCCAAAGAGAAGCGAACCAGAUUCUCUGAGUUGUGGCGCACUAUCAUGGACAUCGAUCCAGACGGGAAGCCUCAAACAACUAAAGAUAUAUUUUCUGAGUUUAGUUCAGCAGGUUUGGUCGAUAUUACAAAUGAUCCAGACUUUGAUGGAAUCUAUGAUGAAGACAUGAAUGAAGAUCCAACAUAUGAUCCCAAUAGCCCUGAAGAAAAGGCUGUAUUUAUGAAAUAUGCUGAAAACAUUAUGCUAAAGCUGACAUUCAGUACCACAAAAGUUCAACAGCAUGAAAACAUCUUUAUAUUUGAGACAGCCUAUUGGCUUACUAAUGCUAUAAAGUACAAUCAAGAUUAUCUGGAUAUUUGUACUUACCAGAGACUACAACAAAGGCUAUAUCUUCAAAAAAAAGUUAUUCAAAAACACUUUGAGAAAAAAAAAGAAAUCAGAAGAGGGAUAGGCUAUCUGAAGUUAAUAUGUUUUCUAAUUCCAUUUUUACUCAGUUUAAAAAAGAGGAUGAAAGUUCCAUAUUUAAAUAGUCUGCUUCCACCAUUUUCAGAUGACAAAGUCAAGACAGAGAGAGAACUGCCUCCAUUUAUUUAUGGACGAGAUUUUAAAUGCCAGAAUUUUGACUACAAAGAACACCAGUAUUUCCAUGUUCAUGGAGGAAUUGAAUUUGAUAUCAGCACGAAUCCAGUUGAGAGUGCUUUGGAUGACUUUAAGAAAAAUGUAGAGAAAAUACAGGAGUGUGCUGCUAAUACCUUUGCAGAAGAUUCAGGAUACAAAGAAUUUUACUCAGUACCAGUCAUGGAGUUUUAUGGAAAGAGUUACUAUGUGAUCUAUUUUGAUCUUGAAAUUUUCUACCAGCAACUAUAUAAGACUCAAUGGUGGGGAGCCAUAAAUGAAAUCAUCAACAAUCUGAGAUUGAAAAGACUUCCACUGACUGAAGCUCAAUUACAUGAGCAGUUUAAGAAAAAAUUUGGUUUCAAAAAAGCUAUAAAGUGCAAGAGUAUCCCAUUUGGUAUGAAGUCUGCUGUUGAAAGAGGCUUGUCUGCUGUUUUCCAUACAUUCAGCCGUAAAACCUCAAGCUCAACAAUCAAUGUUUCUGAUGAAGCAGGCUAUGCCAUUUUCCACCACGCUGCCCUGCACAACCGGGUCUCUAUCAUCUGUCAGCUGUGUAACGCCAACUUCAAUGUUAACCAGAGACGCUUCAUCAUGUUCAGCCAAGAGUCAUCCAAAGGGGACAUGAAAAAAGAAAGAAAUGGUCCAACCCCUCUACACCUGGCCGCACAAGCCUGUUCACUGGAGGCAACCGUCUGCCUCCUCUGUUUCAAAGCCGAUCACACACUUACUGAGAAAAGGGGCUGGAUGCCGAUCCACUUCGCCGCCUUCUAUGAUAACAUCUGCAUCAUCAUUGCACUCUGCAGGAAGGAUCCCAGUUUGCUAGAGGCUGAGGCAACAGCUGAGAAUCAGUGUACCCCACUAUUGCUCGCUGCUACUUCAGGAGCACUGGACACUAUUCAGUACCUUUUCUCUCUUGGUGCCAACUGGAGAAAAACAGAUGCGAAAGGAAACAAUAUCAUUCACUUGUCAGUGCUCACUUUUCAUACAGAGGUACUCAAGUAUAUCAUAGAAUUGAAUAUCCCUGAACUUCCAGUUUGGAAAACUUUGGUAGAAAUGUUGCAGUGUGAAAGCUUCAAGCGAAGGAUGAUGGCUGUCAUGUCCUUAGAAGUAGUUUGCUUAGCAAAUGAUCAAUACUGGAAAUGUAUUUUGGAUGCAGGCACCAUUCCUGCUUUAAUCAAUCUGUUAAAAUGUCCCAAAAUAAAACUGCAGUGUAAAACUGUUGGGUUACUGAGUAAUAUCUCAACCCAUGUAAGUGUAGUACAUGCUUUGGUGGAGGCAGGAGGCAUCCCUGCUUUGAUCAACCUGCUGGCUUCUGAUGAGCCCGAACUACAUUCCCGCUGUGCUGUCAUUCUGUACGAUAUUGCUAAGUGUGAAAACAAGGAUGUUAUCUCCAAAUAUAAUGGAAUCCCGGCUCUGAUAAAUCUCCUGAGCCUGAACAUAGAAAGCGUGCUGGUGAACGUAAUGAACUGUAUCCGGGUGCUAUGUAUCGGAAAUGAAAGCAACCAGAGAGCCAUGAGGGACCACAACGGUAUCCAGUACCUCAUCCGGUUUCUGAGUUCUGAUUCUGAUGCGCUGAAGGCAGUGUCCUCAGCUACAAUUGCUGAGGUCGGCCGUGACAAUAAGGACGUGCAGGAUGCUAUAGCAAUGCAAGGGGCUAUUCCUCCCCUGGUGGCUCUUUUUAAAGGGAAGCAGCUCAGUGUCCAAGUGAAAGGUGCAAUGGCUGUGGAAUCCCUGGCGAAUUACAAUCCUUUCAUCCAGAAGGCAUUUCUGGAAAGAAAAUUAACUAAAGAUCUCCUGAAACUUCUAAAGGCCUUUCAAAUAGAUGUUAAGGAGCAAGGAGCCGUAGCACUUUGGGCUUUGGCAGGACAAACCCUGAAGCAACAGAAGUACAUGGCAGAACAGAUUGGCUACAACUUCAUAAUAAACAUGCUUUUGUCUCCAUCAGCUAAGAUGCAGUAUGUAGGAGGUGAAGCGGUCAUAGCUCUCAGCAAGGACAGCAGGAUUCAUCAAAACCAAAUAUGCGAAGGGAACGGCAUCGCACCUCUGGUCCGCUUGCUGAGGAUUAAUAAGAUAGCUGAAGGCACACUUCUGAGCGUCAUCAGAGCAGUGGGGUCCAUUUGUAUUGGUGUGGCCCACACAAGCAAUGCCAUGAGUCAACGGUUCGUUGUGGAGGAGAAUGCCUUUCCUGUACUUAUUCAGCUACUAAGAAGUCACCCUUCUACUAACAUUAAGGUUGAAGUGGCAUUUUCUUUGGCAUGCAUCGUCCUAGGGAAUGAGUUGCUACAGAAAGAAUUACAAGAAAAGGAAGGAUUUGAGUAUUCUGAUGUCCUUUAUCUUCUUCACUCCAAAGAAAAGGACAUUUGCCUGAGAGCAGGUUAUGCACUAACUCUUUUUGCCUUCAACAAUCGUUUUCAACAGUACUUAAUACUGGAAAGUGGAAUGCUAACCUUAUCUAUUUUUGAGCCUUUUCUUCGAUCCAAGGUUGAAACAGAGAAGGCAAUGGCAGCGUUUCAGAUUAUUGUAUUAGCUAAAGUCAUUAUAGAUGUGGACCAUAUUACUUUGUCUGCAAGAGGUGUUACUAUUUUAGUUGACAGUCUGUAUUCAGUCCACAUUCCUACUAUUGUCCUGGCAGGUAAUUUAAUAGCUAGUCUGGCUCACUCUAGAGCUGGUAUUCCAGCCGCUUUUCUGACGCUAGGGACAGUCCAACGGCUAUGCUACCACCUGUACUCAGGAAGAGAAGAGGUUCGCACAGCGUGUUCUUGUGCCCUUGGCUACCUGACUUACAAUGCACAUGCUUUCCGAAUCCUGCUAAAGGAGUGCAGGAACAAACCUAACCAGUUCCUGCGCAUAAUGAAUAACAUCAGCAGAGACGCGAAGAUUAACCCCGUCUUCCUGAAGGAGUUCCAAAUGCAGCAAAAUGUGGGACUUCCGUCCUUAAGUCUGGAAAAGAAUGGAGGACCAUCUAUAAUUCCUGUCUUUAAAAAAGGAGGUCAGAAAAGGAUGCUGGAUCCAUUGGAACUGGAGUUAUGGACACUUGGGAGCUGCCAUGUGGAUGCUGGGGUCCUCUGCAAGAACAAGAAGUGCUCUUAACCACUGGGCCCUCUCUCCAGCCCCAGUUAAGACUCUGACCUGACCCCAGCUGGAUAAAGCCAUCAUCGCCAGCCCAGACCCUGCUACAAGGAGGCACAACCGGACCAGCCAGUAUCAUCUGAUAAGCAGCAAUGUGAUGCUUUCCUGGGACUGCUGUUGAGACCACAAAACAUACACGCAGGAGAAAAAGGCACAACAAAGAAAAAUCAUUGGAAGUUCACUACCCCAACCUUCUUUCUAAAUCCUUCUCCCCUACCCCACCACCCCCAGAAGAUAGCAAUCUAUAUAUAAACACCCUAGCAUUUGCACACUGCAAAGCAUGUGUGGAAUGAGCAAAACUAGGGUGAGAAACCAAAGCCAACGUCUCAGCUGGGAAAGCGGACCUGCAGGACCAGGAUGGAGUGAACUAUUCGCAGAUUCGAGUCGUGAGCUCCCACAGCCACUCCAGACGAAUUAGAGUUCCUCAAUUUGGGCAGCACAGCUGGAAACAGCUGGCUCGGAAGCUACGAAGUCUCUGUCGGCGGAGAACUGCAGAGGAGCUCCGACUAGAUCUACUUUUUAAAAAGCCUCUGAGGCAAGACCUGUGCAAUACCAUCCACCUUGGGAAGCUGCGGGCGUCCGCUCGAAGCGCCGGCGCCCGGAAGUGACGCCACCGGGCAGCGACACAGUUCUCGGGCCGCGGUGUUGCCUAUGGCUCGAGAGCCGCUUGGUGAAGAAAUGCUUCAGGACAUCUUGAGCCUUCCAGCUUGCCCUCCGGCGGCGUUCUUGCCAGGUUUGUGAGCACCAAGGUUACACUGACGGCGGCUUAUGAAGAGGGGUCCGAAUUCAGCUCUGACUGCACUGCGCCCACACGACGCUACAUUUUAGGAAAGAGUCCUGCCUUUCCUUUGGUGCCACCGUGAGAAAAAGGAUAGGGUACAUUGUCAUCCUGUUUUAGGGAAAAUGUCACCAGACUUACAGGUAGUGACCUAAGAAACCUUCCACUUUCAUGGGGAAAGAGUAUUUUCAUCAGAAAUCAGAACACCAGCAGAAUUAGCACUGGAUUCCCAGAGGAUGGAAGUGUUUGUGGUUGUAGUCUAAACCUUCGCUCCCGCUCUCCAUUCCAAGGGAAACACCUGUGGCUGGCUCAUUCUGUUAUCACGAAAUCAGCCAAAUAAGUUGUGAACAUUAAAAAAAAAUUGUGUUGCAUUCUAUAGCCCCAUAUCACUAUGUACUCAACCUUCUGUGUAGCAUGUACUAAUUUUUGCAUCGUCUUGUUUUUGUUGACUUGGUUUGUGAAUUUAAUUAAGCUUGCAUGGAUGUAUCUCGAAUCUUUCUUCUCCCUACCAAGCUUUAAAACUGUAGCAAGCAAAGGAUUUAAGAUGCAAGGUUGGGAAGUGCCAGCAUACACAUCUUUGCAGAAGUCUGGUAGUGGCAGCACAAGCCCUUAAUCCGACCACAUGGCAGGCAGGAUCUGUGUGUUCAAGAACACAGCCAGCAUGUUGACACACGCCUUUAAUCUCAGUACCACCCAUAGAGACCUGGAGGUCUGUAUAGACAGGCAGUGACGAGGAAGUCAUGUGGUUGGGUUUACAGCCAAUGAGAAGGCAGAAGAAAAAGGCAAUGAAAGGGGCACAGGAAGGAGGUCUCUCUCUCUCAGGGGAAGGACAACAGCAAGUGGUAAGAUAAGGUGGUCUUAGCUCUUGGCUACUGCUCAAUCACUGGGCGUUUCACUCUUUAUUUGGCUCUGUGUUUUUUAUUUAUUUAAUAAGACCAUUUAGAAUUACAUCUACAACCUUCUCAAAGUCUAUUAGCAAAAGACAGGUAAUAGGCAAUAGAAACGUAGUGAAAUGGAAAUGCACAUUUUUUUGACUAGACAAAAAAAAUCCCGUAUCUUCCCUCAUAAGCACGACCCCCCACAACCCACUUACUUUUAGGUCCCUUUACUUAAGCCUGACUUACCACUCUUCAACCUGUUCCAAAUUCUCACAUCAACAUAUACUAAGACAGUGGUUCUCAACUUCCCUAACGCUACAACCCUUUAAUACAGUUCCUCAUGUUGUGAUUCCCCAAUCAUAAAAUUACUUUGUUGCUAUUCAUAACUGUAAUUUUGUUGCCAUUAUGAAUCAGAAUGUAAAUAUCUGAUAAGCAGGAUAUCUGAUAUGUGGCCUCUGUGAAAGGGUCUUUUGAUUGCUGAUGGGUCAUGACCCACAGGUUGAGAAUCAUUGAUCUCACAGUUUUGCAACUUUCUAUUCUGUUAAAAGGAUUAUAUUAAAUUUGUUCAGUUAUAUUCCAUUUAUUUUUAUUCGGAAUAGGAUAAGGGAAUUGGGGGUCAUAUUUACUGAUAAUAUAUAUUCAUGUAAGAGACACAAUUAAUAUGCUGUGUAAUAAUGACUCAAACUUCAGUUAGAUAAGAUAGGUCAAAAUUAACAAAAUAUUUUGAUAAGAAAAACUCUUAGCUUUUGGUUUAAUGAAUCUAUUUUGUUAAGUGUAUGAAAAGAGAAACCAUCACUUGACAGCUCAUGCUGAAGAUGUGAGGUUUUUGUUCCACAAAGUAAACCAAUGAUCAAAUCAAAAUAUUUGAAGUGGUAACAUAUUGCAUUAAAAAAAAAAGCAUGUAGGAGACAGCAGUAUUAUAGGCACCUCUCAUCUCAUCCCCUCUUGUAUUUACCUUGCAUUCUACACAAUAAAAUCAAAGUAGAACUUAAAGAAGUCACUGAAAGUGGGAGAAAUGUGGGACUGUAUUUUAUGGAAAUGUAACAGCUUUAGUAGUGCUUAUUCAAGACUGUUAAGUUUAAACAAGUAGAUAAAGAGUUUUGUGGCAUAAAGAUUAGGGGUUUGGCUCAAUAUAAACAACUCAUAACUUCAUUAUAAAAUGGGUUAUGCUGUCCUCUAUUACUGUUAAAUCAGAACUUACUGGAGUAGUCAUCAGUGCUUAUUUGAGCUGAUGUAGGGGACUGAAUUCCAGUCUUAAGUAUUUUUCUAACAUAGCACUGAGAUAUGUUGUCACAUAUUUAUUAGGCUGAUUCACAGAUACUUUUAAGUAGUUGUUAUUAUGCUCCCUUAGAAUCUAGUUUGGGAGACAGUAACACCACCUAAAACCCAAAAAAGAAUGUGGCAUGUCAAAAACACAGGAGUCAGCUUGGAAAAAACAUAAAGCAGUGAAAAUUAGCAUAAAGGAAAUAGAAAACUUUUGUAGGAUAUUAUUUCAAGGUGUGUUACUUUUGUUUAUGCUCUUAAACGCAAAGAUGUGUUUGAUUAAAUAAAAUUCACCUGCGGUCAGGAGGUUGGUAGGGAGGGGCGAGGAUAUGAGCAAGGAGAGGAGGUGAACUACUUGCUAUUCAGCCUCUGAAGAGCAGAAUUCCAUCUUAACCUUUGAAUCUUGACUUUUUUUAGAGGGGAAUCGGUUUAAUUAAGUUCCCUUCGUAGCUCUGCAAGAGUUCGAGCAGCCAGCUACAGCCCUUGAGGCCUAACCACUGCUAAUAGCAGCAGAGUUGCAGCUGGUGAUUCAGUCAGCUGUGCUUAAAAGGCAGCAACCACCUUAAAAAAGGACAACAGAAAACCAAUACCAGGGCCCCACAGUAAAACCUACCUCACUUAAGAUGCACUGACAGGCUGGAGAGGUGGUGUAGCACUAAAAGGUGCACCUCCAAGUUCUGUUCCCAGAACCCAAGUCAGGCAACUCAAAAUCCCUUGGAACUCAAGCUUCAGGAAAUGGAACACCCUCUACUGGCCUCUGCAGGCACUACACUCACAUACAAACCCACAUAAUUGUAAGGAAAAUCUUUGACAGAUCUAGUGGCUCAUCACUAAGUCGCCAGUAUGUGUCCUGACUUCAUUAGAGUUAAUUAAGUUUUGUUGUUGUUAAGGCGGGAUGGCCUUGCACAUGCAGCAGCCUCCUCCCCUAGCCUUGAUGGUGCUGAGAUCACAGACAUAAACUACCACAUCCAGAUUAAUAAAGUAUACAUUUAUAAAAAUGGCAUUUUUUCAGGUUUAACACAGCCAUUCACCUAGUAUUCAGACCAAAUACUAAGUCACUUCAUUUUCUGCUUUCCAACAUUAAUCAGCACAUCCACAAAGGCACAACUCUUACCGGUAGCUCAUUUCGUUCACUACUUCUCAGUCUGAACUGCCUGGUUGCAGUGGCUUCCCAACUAUUCCUGUUUUCCAUUCUCUGGCUCAUUUCAACAGCAGUGAGCUUUAAAUACAAUGAGUCCCUUCCAUCUUCUGUGUAGUUCUGUCAUGCUAAGAAUAAAAUCCGCUUAUUUCUGAUUUUGAACGCCUUGUAACCUAGCCUGUGCUGUGCCAUACUGCUGGGAUACUCAUGGUUGCCAUUCUCCUUGCUUUUCCCUGCCUCUACUGCAAACAUGUCUCUGGUGUUUAGGAAUCUCGGCAUCUGUUACUACUCCUACUGGCAAUUUUCUCUAGACCGCUGUACCUUCCACUCCUUAGAUGAAGCAGGUGUCCACACAUCCCAUACCCUUACCUCCAUGGCAUUCUUUACUUCCUGAAUUACCUACACUGUGUGCACCUCCAGCGAAGAACAGGCUUUUCUUGUUCAGACUCAGUAGCACUAAAAUAGCAUAACUGAGCAGGCCCCAUACAGGUAUGAGUAAAUAGUUUUAAAGCAUUGAAAGUAGAAAGCACAGAAAACAUGGGGCAAUUUUUUUCUAAAUAUGUGUAAAAAUAUAAGCUUUUAAAAAUGAAGUUAAACAGAGGAACAUUUUUUAGUUGAUUUUACAAAUUCAGUUGUUUAAAAAUAAAUCUGAAGUGUCAAUGUAGUUUUGAUGACUGUCUUGGAAAUUUUUAAAAUAAUCUUACACCAAGGAAAACUUUUUAUUAAAGCAUCAAUUACCAGUAAUUGAAAAAUACACAAGAAAAGACAAACAUACAAAGGCAGCAUCAUACAAAUGAUUUUUAAACUCAGUACUUUUGAAAUAGGAAACAAUGACCUCUACCCCUAAGUCUGUUUAUUGCCACAAAUUAACUUAUAAGUUGAUCUACAACUGUUUUCAAUCUUAUGUUACUGAGUUUUUCAGCUUUAUCUUAUAACAUUUUAGAAAUAUAUUUCUCAUAGUAGUAAUUUCAUACAAUUAAUGCUAGCAACUAUAGGAAGCUUCCCCACAUCACAAGAAUUCAAUAUAGUUGUUGCUG